CUAAAUUGUUGUCAUGCAGUUCUUGGCAGAACCUAAAUGAUUCAGCUCUCUGGCUCUGGGGACAGACAACGCCAGUAUGCUCUGGCUGGGUACUAUAGUGCAUGCUAUUUCACCUCUGUAAGCCUGAGUCUUCACAUCUGUAAAACUGGGAUAUCAAUUGUGCCUCCCUCAUGGGCUUGUUGAAGUGUUAAGUGUUCAGCUCUCGGCAGUGUUAAUUUGAAUUCUCCCCAGAGAAGAGCUUUAGGGAACAAGAUGGCACCAAAAUCAUAUUUUUGGCAUGUCUUUCAGACAACAGAUAAAAGGAUGAUCAGUUCUGAAUGCUCAAAGACUGGCUUAGUCAGCCUCUCCUCAUGCCCUCCUCCCCUGAUGUCCUCAGUGAUGUGGGAGCCCUCGUGAGGACUCCCCAGCAAGCCAGCCUACAUGCAGUGCGAUGACCUGAAAACUCAGUCAUCUGCAGACUCCAUGACGUGAGCAUGAGUCACUGAACUCUCUAAAUGUUACACUCUACAAGCCCAGAGAGAUACCAAAAUGCACAAGCCUCGGCCAUCAUCAAGGAACUGAGAAAAUGUGUCUUCAACCAUGAGGAGGAAAAUUCAAAGGAGUUCCGAACAUAUACAAAUACAUGUAAAGGGACAGAGAUGAAAGGAAUGGAGCCAUCGGAGCGGGAGUACAGGGGGAGAGGGAGCAGCACCUAUGCCCAAGCCCCGACUGGGCAGCCUGGGCCAGCCCUCAGGAUGAGAGCAAGGUUCUCAAUGCCCUUCCUCACCUCCCUCCUCAAUGGUGUUCUUCAUCCUCACCAUCCCAUCACCUCCAGAGACCAGUGUGUUUGUGGCACCCUUCUUCCCAGUCAAGCCUGCUCUCAGAAAUCAUCCUUGGGAAGGGUCAACAUGAUAGCCACAUAUGGAAGGGGCGUGGAGAAGAAAGGACAGGGGAAAAAGAAGAAAGGUUGUUUUUACCAUCAGCCCCGUGUUGAAGUCAACAGGAAAUGGCCCAGUGUGGAUCAACCACCAUACUGUCCCGAGUAA
RNAcentral lists this long non-coding RNA (1025 nucleotides) under Pan troglodytes (chimpanzee). Its description in RNAcentral is "lncRNA (ENSPTRG00000053140.1)". The record is from RNAcentral. Lineage: Eukaryota; Metazoa; Chordata; Mammalia; Primates; Hominidae.